This 433-nucleotide ribosomal RNA is filed under the name uncultured bacterium. Its description in RNAcentral is "partial 16S ribosomal RNA". It matches the Rfam family "Bacterial small subunit ribosomal RNA", at positions 29 to 507 of the family's 1533-position model. The record is from RNAcentral.
AACGAACGCUGGCGGCAUGCCUAACACAUGCCAGUCGAACGAGACCUUCGGGUCUAGUGGCGCACGGGUGCGUAACGCGUGGGAACCUGCCCUUAGGUUCGGAAUAACUCCCCGAAAGGGGUGCUAAUACCGGAUAAUGUCUUCGGACCAAAGAUUUAUCGCCUUUGGAUGGGCCCGCGUUGGAUUAGCUAGUUGGUAGGGUAAUAGCCUACCAAGGCGACGAUCCAUAGCUGGUCUGAGAGGAUGAUCAGCCACACUGGGACUGAGACACGGCCCAGACUCCUACGGGAGGCAGCAGUGGGGAAUAUUGGACAGUGGGCGAAAGCCUGAUCCAGCAAUGCCGCGUGAGUGAUGAAGGCCUUAGGGUUGUAAAGCUCUUUUACCCGGGAUGAUAAUGACAGUACCGGGAGAAUAAGCUCCGGCUAACUCCGUG